RNAcentral lists this ribosomal RNA (160 nucleotides) under uncultured beta proteobacterium. RNAcentral describes it as "partial 16S ribosomal RNA". It matches the Rfam family "Bacterial small subunit ribosomal RNA", at positions 355 to 507 of the family's 1533-position model. Lineage: Bacteria; Pseudomonadati; Pseudomonadota; Betaproteobacteria. The record is from RNAcentral.
UGGGGAAUUUUGGACAAUGGGCGCAAGCCUGAUCCAGCAAUGCCGCGUGAGUGAAGAAGGCCUUCGGGUUGUAAAGCUCUUUCAGUCGAGAAGAAAAAGCUGCAGUGAAUAACUGUAGUUUAUGACGGUAUCGACAGAAGAAGCACCGGCUAACUACGUG